CAACUCAGGUGCCCAGAAGACUUUUUAGGAUGACGGUUAUUUUCUCUGGGAUAUUUCUUGAGUGGGGUUCAUGGUGAAAAGGUACCUGGGGCUUCAGGUUGCUCAGGACAUCCCUGAGUACCAGCCCUGCUCAGUUGUUCCCAACAGCAUCCACAGGAAUGGACUUUUGGUUCUGUUUCUACUUGCUGGUUGAUCUUUGUAUACUCAAGUGAUGGCUGAGGAAGAAUCAGAAGGCAACUUGUGGAGCUGGUCCAGAAGAAUUUUAGCAUCCCGAAUUUGGUGCCUUGAGGAGGAGGGGUCCCAGCCGACUGGAAGCUGGUGAAAUGUUGUCCUGACUUUCAAGAAGGACAAGAAGGAGGACCGCCGAAACUACAGGCCUAUUAGUCUCACUUCAGUGCCUGGUAAGGUUGCAGAGGAGAUUAUUUUGUAAAGUAAAACACCUGAAAUACAACACAAUCAUUGGCCACAACCAGCACGGCCGCAUCAGAGGAAAGUCCUGCUUAUCAAACCUGAUUUCCUUCUAUGACAAGAAGGACAAAAGACCUCACUCAUCAUUGACCAGAGGCUGGCAGAUCCAAAUGAAGGACCAUCUGUUUGGCCAGGGAGAAAAGGGUAAAGGAGCUGUCUAAAUCUUUGUCUAGGAGCCACCAGUGGAGCAGCCCAUCCAUGGAUCUGUCAAAGAGCAUUUUCCUAUCCCAGUUGGCUCACAACAGAGUGCUCCUCCUGGCCCAGCAGUUACGUGCUUCCAUGCCCCCUUGCAACCGGGGAGACCCUCUGAGCCAAGCGACUGCAGGAUGGUGAGGGAGAGAUGAGCUCUUGGAAGAACAGCACAUUUAUUCAGUUGAUUAAUUUUUAACAGGGAAAAAGAGCAAGCAUGGGGGAAAUUGUUCAGCUGGGAAGAGAGGAGAAAGUUGUGAGAACGGAACCAGAAAGGAAGGUGAAGAGCAGGAGAGCAGGGGAGAAGGCCUCUCUCACAACCCAUACUCCUGAGGUGCUCUUUGGGCUGAUUAGUAGUGAUUUGCACUCCCAACAAAUGUUUUCAUUUAUUUCAGGACAAAGAAAAUGGUUUGGUCCACCAAACAUAUUUUUCAUUCAAAAUGGGAAAAGCUACUCCUGAAGGCCUGUUUUCCUUUUUUUUAAUAAAGAAUAAAAACCUCAUACUUUCAAAAAUCCUCUUUUCCCUACUCAGGAUUAGUUAUUUGAAUAGAAGGAUUUGCUGAACGUGACCUGAAUUUAUCUAGUGUUUUAUCCUACCUAUAGCAGAAUAUUUCUGGAGAGUUUAUGACUGAAGGGUAGAAACAACAUCCUUGUUUAGCUUCUCUUUAGACUUGUGCAGAAUAUGGAUACAUGAUCCAUCUUGCACAACAGCACAGGUCCAAGUCCCAUUCCUCCUGCCAAAGCAGGCAGUCAUUGUGAGCUCUCAGUAGCUGAGGAAGACAGAAGUGAUUUGCAGCACCUCUGUGCAGGUCUGCACUCUGUCCAGGGCCCUCACUCCUUGCGGGCACCUCCCAGAGGCGCAGUAUUCAUGAAGGGUGCCUGUGAAAUUCUGCCCAUGCAGAAGCUAAAAUAGUCUUGUGUUAAAUAGUAUGCUUAUAGAUAGUGGCAUAUAUUUGUCUGGAUGUCUGUAACAGGAAUAGUGGAAAAACGAGAGAAGGCAGCAAGCCUUCUUGAUGUAACUGAAAGAUGAGGGAGAAGUUUAGAGGUCAAGAGCUGCUUGAAAAGUUGUGAUCAAAAAGGGUAUCUCAUGCUGUUUCUUUCCAAAUGAGCAGAGGGUGGCAGGAUUGUGGUAAACAGCCUUUGGCUGACCAUCUGGGUCAUGCUGGAAUAAUGACAUGAUAGGAUUCAAUGUCUCAUGAUGUUAUUUAUUGGGCUAAACAUGCCAAAUAGUGCAGAGGCUUACACACUCAGGUCAGUGUGUUGUUAUUGCUGCAUUUCCCACUUAAACAACUCCUUGUGCUUCUAAAGUUACCUGGCCCUGCCACAUGACCUCCAAGGGAGCAAGCCAAGAUUUUUAACAAUAUCUAUUACCUCUGUUUCACAGGUCAGUGCUCUUUAUAAACCGCUAGUGUUAUCCUGAAAAUCUAUUGUGAAAGACAGCGUAGAAAACAUUGGUGCAAAACUAACAAGAAGCACAUUGCUUCUGUUUAGGAGGGACUACCCUUGUGAUGUAGGUACAAAAAAAUUUCCCUGUUUCAAAACACACAUUUUAUCUAUGCAGGAUCAUAGUCCCAUAAUUCUCUUCAGCACUUCAAUGGCACUGACAUAGAAAAUGGUUUGUUCGCUCACAGACCGAGAAGGACUGGGAGGCUAACUUUACCGUUCCAGGAAAUACUUUGCCAGUGCUAACUUGUGAACUGUUAGCAGCCAAAUACUCUUAAUAUUUAUUCAAGUCAAAGAACUACUAUCCACCAGUUCCUGGUUAUAUUUCUUCUCCUAUUCCUCUUUAAAUUAUGAGUUUCCACUGGCCAAGUUGCUUUCAUGUUUAUUUUCUUUAACAUAGCAAGCCUGCAGCUGACAAUAACUUUUUGGGUUGUCUGGCCAUGAACUUCACAUUAGAAAACUUCAAACUGCGUUUCCCCCAUCUCUUAGAGCAGAACUAUUCUUAUGCAGACCUCUACCAGUACUUACAAUGCUGCAAUGAUAGUAAAAACAAACAAACAAACAAACAAAAAGAAAAAAAAAAAAAACACAAAAAAACUAAAACCAAACCAAACAAAAAAGAGUACCACUAUAAAUACUUUUAUUGCCGGUAUAGAUUAUUUACUGCCCACUUAGUUAAUCCCUAUAAAAUAACACAGCUGAAUGCCUUUAAGUUGCAUGCAUACAGAUUACUAAUUAAAUACACAGUUAAAUGGCUUGACCUGGCACAAUUCUGACCAUUAAAAUCAUUAAAGAAAUAGAGCUGUUGCAGUUGCCUCAAGGCAAAGUCUCCCAGUGAAUAAUUUGGGUAUUGCAGCAGUUUGGGGCAGUUUGGGACAGACAGGGUAGUCCCAAGCUGGAGGGACUGGUUUGGGAACCAGCUCCUUGAGAACUGAUCGCCUGACCCCAUCUCUCAGCCCAUGACUCCAGUUCAUCUCUCUGUGCCAUGGAGCCAAGGGUAGCAGGACAUAGGGGACACUGGGACUGGGGCAAAAGUUAAAAGAAAUCAACCAGAAGUACAAAUUCAUAUUUUCAUAAAGGUUUAGCUGAAUUCAAGCCUUUUGUUAUAAGGCUGUGUGCAAUUGCAGUAGAAGUUCAGCCAGCACUACAAACGCACGUCCUUCUGUUCCUGUCCCCUGUCCCUCAGUGGUCCCACGGGGAGCUCAGGGUUAAGGGGCUGGGGCAUCACAGCUGGCCACAGAAUGUCUUAGCAGCACUUCCUGGGCUGAAACUUCAGUCUAGCUUGGAGUAUUUGAAUAACUACACUUUGGUGACAAGAAUGAGAAUUUCAUCAAAGCAGGAGCUUCCUUGAACGGAUAUUGGCCUGUGCUUUCACAAGAAAGCUUCCUCUGCAGUUUCCAUCCUGAAGAACCUGCCACCCACCCUCAUGUUCACUGUUGCUAUGUUCAUGUGCACUAGGCUGGAGUAAGCAUUUUCCUGUCCCUAAGUGCAGUUUAGCCUCAGAAAUUACUAUAAUUCUACUUACUUAAACAGACCUAAUUUUUCAAUAGAAGUACUAUUUCAACAGAAGCAAUUAAAAAGUUCUGCUGUCAUGACAAGGCACCUGCUUCUAUCAAAACUUCAUUUAGCUUAUCAUUCUGUUUGACUUUCUGGAGUAAUUUUAGAACAGACAGGGUUUUUUGUUCUACUAAGAAUGCUUCCCUUUGAGAAAUAACAGUUUGUAAAACUGACCCACCAUGAAAUUUGUGAUUUUUUUCUCAGAGGACAGAAAGGUGAAGCUCUCUCAUUUUCAUCCAUUAAUUACCAGGGGAAAGAAGUAUGACAUAUGUAAAGAUCUUCAUGAAGUUAUAAAAGAGAGAGCAAACUAUGACAUGUCUGCAAAGGUGAUAAUGACAUUAGUAGAACCCAACCUAAGUAUCUUAACAAAACUAUUGUAGAUGUAUCCUAAUAUAAAGCAUGGGUACACAGGGGGAAACAAAGGCAAAUGGAAGUCUUCUUUAUGUUUACUGAACUCAUCAUUAACUGUUGUUUGUAUUUCAUGUGAAAUUCACCCUUUUUACAAACAACCACACUAAUAAA
Molecule: long non-coding RNA, 4179 nt
Organism: Chiroxiphia lanceolata (lance-tailed manakin)
Lineage: Eukaryota; Metazoa; Chordata; Aves; Passeriformes; Pipridae
Exons: 3
Source: RefSeq, a predicted model, not a curated record